UAAAAUAUCUUCAGUAGACAGAAACAGCUGGACCACUUUAAUAACAUUUCUCUUUUCUCUGAAUCGUCACUGCCAUUAAAAGCAGAGCUAUUCAUAUUUGCAGAAAAGACUCUGGCUCCCACCUUGGGAGCUGCUGUCAGAUAUUUAGAUCGUACGCUCCAUUCCAUAGUAGAAAGGUAAAGAGAUAGGAGAGUGAGGCUAGCUUUGGGCAUCCCUUAAGCCCUAAUGUGCCUACAACGACACUUUUAGACCUUUGUUGAUGUACAUUAAUUGUUUUUCCAGCUGGUGGAGCUAAGACAAUAGGCCUUUAGAAAGCAGAGCCUACCCAAAAGAGCACGAAGAAAGUCUGGUAGUGUGCCUUUUUUGACACGUGUCGAGGUGUGUCCAGUAUGUAUCUGGCCGUGUCGGCGGCGUGUCCGUGUCGGACACCAGUACAACACUGGUAUGAGGGGAUUUUUCCCGUGUCGGUGCUUCAUAGAUCCGGUGGGAUGCUCCAAUGGGGUUGACGCAGGCAGGUUAGGUUUUCGGGCCGACACAUGUAGGAGAGAGGGUCAAGAGGUUUUAAAGGAGAAGAUGAAGAGAAGGGAAAUGAGGAAGAUAAGGAAGAAAAUGAUAAAGAAGUCUAAGUGCAGCGUGUUCUUAAGGAACAGGAGGAAAGUGGAUGCGAAGAUGUUACAGACAUUAGAUGAACAGUACGCCAUGUGAUUGCAGUGCAAAAGAAUCAAUGGAGUUUUGGGGGUAAUGGGGUUUUUUCUCUACUUCUCUUGCAAUGGCUAAGCUAUUUCUUUCUUUUUCUCUCUCUAUAUUUUAACAAUAUUCCAACACAAGCUUUUGAUGUUUUUGAAAAUGUCGAAACUAAUUUUAAAAGGGGUUGUUUGAAAGACGGGGAUCGAAUUUUGAAAAAUGAAAAUGGGAGUCGCGACUAAUCUUUUAAAGUGUGAUUGGAUCACUAUAUAAAACAUUUUGGUCUACGAAAUUGUGAGAAAACAGGUUCGGGAGUCAGUUACGUUCGAGGAAGGAUUAGCACCAUUGUAACGCCUAAAAUUAGUACCAAAUUGGAUAAUUUUUGUCUCAAUGCUAGAAUUUUGAGAAUAUUAAAAAAAGUGUGGUUUCUUUAUUUUUGUAAUAAUUAAAAUUAAGAGAAUCGAGAUUCAUUCGCUUUGAAGGAAUAAUAAAUAUCACAUUCAGCAUAA
Gossypium arboreum is the source of this 1193-nucleotide long non-coding RNA. RefSeq lists it as uncharacterized. The record is from RefSeq and is a predicted model, not a curated record. The transcript has 2 exons. NCBI's taxonomy places the organism in Eukaryota, Viridiplantae, Streptophyta, Magnoliopsida, Malvales, Malvaceae.